GUUUAAUACAGUGUCUGAGGGGAGAGAAGCGGGUGAGAGCUCUCUUUGUUUAAGUUUGUGUUAUGGUUUUCUUGAGCAGCAAGUUCAAAAAUGAAGCCCGCACCCUUAGCUUCUUCUGUGUGCGGGUUUUAUUUCUCACUGCAGUCUGUCUAUUUAACAUAUGGGGAGUGGUUUCAUGUUCAUUACUGAAGCUUAUAGGCUGAAGUGCUUUGUGGGCUUGGCUCACUGAAGUUGCCUUUGGGGAGGAGGCCAAAAUUGAGCUCGGGAACAGGACGACUUCCCCUGUUUAUGUGGAUUCUCAGGGUAAUCAAUCCCCUCCCCUCCCACCUGGACAUCAUCUGCUCUGGAAAAGAGUCUCACAGUAAGGAUUCUUUCCUUACCUCAGUAUGAAGCAACUGCUUUCACAGGGGCACCAGGUUAGUAAAUAACAUUUUGAACUUUCUGUAUUGCAUUUGUCAGAUUUUCUUUCUGUGCUCAUGGUAGGCAGGAGAGUGGUUGUCUGCUGUCAUGUUCUUUUAGAAGAUAACAUGAGUUCACUGAUCCUGUGGAGCCCCACUGCUUUCACCAUGUCUGAAGGUAACAUGUCACUGAAAAACGAGUCGAGAGUAAAUACCUCUGCACUGCAGAAAAUCGCUGCCGACAUGAGCAAUUUGAUAGAAAAUCUGGACACACGGGAGCUGCAUUUUGAAGGAGAGGAGGUGGACUAUGAUGUGUCUCCCGGGGACCCCAGGACUCAGGAAGUGUGUAUCCCUUUCUCUGCUAUUUAUAACACUCAAGGAUUUAAGGAGCCUAAUAUACAGACGUAUCUCUCUGGCUGUCCGAUAAAAGCACAAGUUCUGGACGUGGAACGUUUCACAUCUACAUCAAGGGUAUCAAGUAUCAAUCUGUAUACUAUUGAGUUAACACAUGGGGAAUUUAAAUGGCAAGUCAAGAGGAAAUUCAAGCACUUUCAAGAAUUCCACAGAGAACUGCUCAAGUACAAAGCCUUUAUCCGCAUUCCCAUUCCCACCAGAAGACAUACAUUUAGAAGACAAAAUGUCAAAGGGGAAGAGCCUCGACAAAUGCCCAGUUUGCCCAGUUCACAUGAAAAUAUGAUUCAAGAGGAACAGUUCUUUGGAAGAAGGAAACAGUUGGAAGAUUACCUGACCAAGAUACUAAAAAUGCCCAUGUAUAGAAACUACCAUGCCACAACAGAAUUCCUUGAUAUAAGCCAGUUAUCUUUCAUCCGUGACUUGGGACCAAAGGGCCUAGAAGGCAUGAUCAUGAAAAGAUCCGGGGGACACAGAAUACCAGGUUUGAAUUGCUGUGGUCAGGGGAGAGCCUGCUACAGAUGGUCAAAAAGGUGGUUAAUAGUGAAAGAUUCCUUUAUAUUAUAUAUGAAACCAGACAGUGGUGCUAUUGCCUUUGUCCUGCUGGUGGAUAAAGAAUUUAGAAUUAAGGUGGGGAAGAAGGAGACAGAAACGAAAUAUGGACUUCGAAUUGAUAAUCUUUCAAGGACACUUAUUUUAAAAUGCAACAGCUAUAGACAUGCUCGGUGGUGGGGAGGAGCUAUAGAAGAAUUCAUCCAGAAACACGGCACCAACUUCCUUAAGGACCAUCGAUUUGGGUCCUAUGCUGCUAUCCAGGACAACACUUUAGCUAAAUGGUAUGUUAAUGCCAAAGGAUAUUUUGAAGAUGUGGCAAAUGCAAUGGAAGAAGCAAAAGAAGAGAUUUUUAUCACAGAUUGGUGGUUGAGUCCAGAAAUCUUCCUUAAACGCCCAGUAGUUGAAGGAAAUCGUUGGAGGUUGGACUGCAUUCUUAAACGAAAAGCACAACAAGGGGUGAAGAUCUUCAUAAUGCUUUACAAGGAGGUGGAGCUUGCUCUGGGAAUCAAUAGUGAAUACAGCAAGAGGACUUUAGUGAGGCUGCACCCCAACAUCAAGGUGAUGAGGCACCCAGAUCAUGUGUCAUCCAGCGUUUAUUUAUGGGCUCAUCAUGAGAAACUUGUCAUCAUCGAUCAAUCAGUGGCCUUUGUAGGUGGGAUUGACCUGGCCUAUGGACGGUGGGAUGACAACGAACACAGACUCACAGAUGUGGGAAGUGUGAAGCGGGUCGUUUCAGGACCGUCCCUGGGUUCUCUCACAGCUGCAAUCACAGAGUCUAUGGAAUCCUUAGGCCUCACAGAUAAAAAUGAAUCUAAUAAAAAUGUUCCCAGCUUGAAGAGUCCUGAUGAGACAGAUUCAAAACUGAAAGGUGUAGGAAAGCCACGAAAGUUGUCCAAACUUAACCUCUACCGGCAGCUCCACUGGCACCACCUGCACAACUCGGACAGCGUCAGCAGCCUGGACAGCGCCUCCAGUUAUGUUAAUCACUAUAGAAGUCACCAGAAUUUAAUCCAUGGUUUAAAACCCCACUUGAAACUCUUUCGCCCUUCCAGUGGGUCUGAACAGGGACUCACUAGACCCAGCGCCGAUACCGGCUCCAUCCGCAGCUUACAGACUGGCGUGGGAGAGCUACACGGGGAGACCAGAUUCUGGCAUGGGAAGGACUACUGCAACUUUGUGUUCAAAGACUGGGUUCAACUGGAUAAACCUUUUGCUGAUUUCAUCGACAGGUACUCUACUCCCCGGAUGCCCUGGCAUGACAUUGCGUCUGUGGUCCACGGGAAGGCAGCUCGUGAUGUGGCGCGCCACUUCAUCCAGCGAUGGAACUUCACGAAGAUUAUGAAACCAAAAUAUCGGUCCCUUUCUUAUCCUUUUCUGCUUCCAAAGUCUCAAACCACAGCCCAUGAGCUGAGACACCAAGUGCCUGGGGCUGUCCACGCCAGCAUACAGUUGCUCCGCUCUGCUGCUGAUUGGUCUGCUGGUAUAAAGUACCAUGAAGAGUCUAUCCACACCGCUUACAUCCAUGUGAUAGAGAACAGCAAGCACUAUAUCUAUAUUGAAAACCAAUUUUUUAUAAGCUGUGCUGAUGACAAAGUUGUGUUCAACAAGGUGGGUGAUGCCAUUGCUCAGAGGAUCCUGAAAGCUCACAGGGAAGGCCGGAGGUACCGGGUGUAUGUUGUGAUACCACUGCUCCCGGGAUUUGAAGGAGACAUUUCAACUGGAGGAGGAAACGCUCUACAGGCCAUAAUGCACUUCAACUACAGAACCAUGUGCAGAGGAGAAAAUUCCAUCCUUGGACAGUUAAAAACAGAGCGCUCUGCCAACAUAAAUGACCGAAGUAUGCUGGGGAAGCGUGACAGUGAGAUGGCUGUCAUUGUGCAGGACACAGGGACGAUCCCAUCAUUAAUGGAUGGACAGGAGUACCAGGCCGGCCGAUUUGCCCAAGGACUGCGGCUACAGUGCUUCAGGGUUGUCCUUGGCUAUCUUUCUGACCCAAGUGAGGACAUUCAGGAUCCAGUGAGUGACAAAUUCUUCAAGGAGGUAUGGGUUUCCACAGCAGCUCGAAAUGCUACAAUUUAUGAUAAGGUGUUCCGGUGCCUUCCCAAUGAUGAAGUACACAAUUUAAUGCAACUGAGAGACUUUAUAAACAAGCCCAUAUUAGCAAAGGAAGAUCCCAUUAGAGCUGAGGAAGAACUAAAAAAGAUCCGUGGAUUCUUGGUGCAAUUCCCCUUGUACUUCUUGUCUGAAGAAUCCCUGCUGCCUUCUGUUGGAACCAAAGAAGCCAUAGUGCCCAUGGAGGUUUGGACUUAAAUGAUGUACUUGUCUGCAGCACCAAGAUUUCUCCCCUGAAGCCCACAGUGCACACACUGACUUCAUGGGGAUCGCCUAGCCACAUCCAGGCCGAUGCACUCUCAAGUCCAACACGUGGACCUUUUGGAAUGGUUGUGGUCAUACUGAUGUAAGGACACUGAGCAUCAGCAAGGUUUUGUAAUUCCUUCUGUCCAUCCUUGUAAAAGAGGAUGCAUUCUUGUUGGUACCAUUUACUCAACACUUUAGAACACAAGCAAAUUCCAUGGUGUAUACCAAAAUCCAUUUGCUAGUAAGAAUUUAUAUGUAACUGUAAUACAGAUUGCCAAAAGUUUCCUGGGAUUCCAUCCUCUUCUCUGACCUCCAGGUAGGCAGCCACUCUCUGCUGGACUUACCACAUCAUUUAGUCUACACAGCACUGCUUGAGAUACCCUUUCUUACUAGAAGACAUUGUAGAACUGCAUGAAGUUUCCUACAGGUUACAGGGAUGCUCCUGCCCAUCCAGUCCUGUAGUCAUAGUGUUCACCCAACCAAGGAUGUGGUUAUUGUUUCUUUUCAGUCACUAUAGGGACAGAAAGACUAGUCUACACAGCAGUCCAUACCUUUGAUAACAUUAGUGCUAUAUCUUGACUCCAUAGAGUAACAGGAAGGAAUUAAAUUGCAGUACUGAAGCAGAGAUUUCAGUUUGUUCCCCAAAACACUGCCAAGAUGUGUUCUUGUGAUAGAGCCCAACUGAUCAAAUUUGAAAACAUGUUUAGGAUAUUUGAUUAUUUGAUUACAUAUCACACAGAUAAAACAUAGAUGGGCACACAUUCUUGAGAAACUUUCAGUGUCAGUAGAAAUCUAAUCUUGAUAAGAUUCUGUAUAGUCUUGUAAAAUUUUCAUCAUCCGUGAUUGAUUGGAAUUGGAAUUUCUUCAUUUCAUAAUCAAAUGAGUGAAUGCAAUUUGCCUUGCAAGAGAAUCAAAAGUUUCAUAAUUCCUACCAAGUUAAUGAAUCUAACUUUAUUUGACAUUCACUAUGUUAUCAUGUUUAAGGAAAAAAAUGAUUAUAAAAUAUAUGCUAUUUCACUUGCAUGGUUAAAUAUACUGUAAUAUUUCAGCAGGGCUUUCAAAGGAGUUAGGAUAUUCUUACAGCCUGAAGAGCUAAAGUGGGUUUCCAAGAGGCCUGUGAGCAAUAAAAAGGGUACAGGUGCAGGGGUUACACACAUGGAUGGAUCCCUGGGACAGAAUCUCCUUGGGGUUCUUCAAAGCAAGCGCUCAGUCUCUAUCUUCAUGAACUAAUACUCAGGUCAGAAAGAUGUAAGAGGACUACAGUGUCAAUGAUACAUAAUAGCAGAAUAGAUAGUGUCAUACCCGAGAGGCUUUCACAGCUAGAGAAAUGAGGUGGAAUUUUAUAAGCCGUUCUGGAAAUGAGUAUUUAUGAAUAAAUAACUUAUUUUUAUAUGGCUGGAGAUGGUAAAAUGACUUAACUUCUUAGCUUUUAUAAAUGAGACAUUUUACGAAAGUUUGAUGAAAAGUUUAGAGUAGCCUUUGAUGUGCUGAGUGUAUUCAGAAAUACUUACGGGCUCUUGUAUUUUAUUUUAAAAUAUUUUGUAUGGCUUAUGAACAAACUGGCCUUGGUUUUGUGAAAACUGUUCUUAUUAAAACAUGAAAAGUAAAGGGUCUAAAAGGAACCCCGCUAUGUAGCUCAGGCUGACCUCAAACUCACAGUGGUCCUCCUGCCUCAGCCUUCAGAGUGCUGAGAUUAUAGGUGCAUGUGCUGCCAUGGCCAGCAGCUCUUCACCUUAAAAAAUCAUUCAGUUCAAUCCCUCUGCAUAUUAUAGAUGAGGUAACUGAGGCUCAGAUUGGAUGAAGGACUGAUUUAAACCCAUAAGAUAUAGAUGGCAGAACUGGGACUAGCAAAAUUGCUGCAGUCUAUAGUUGUCCUCUCCACCUCAACACUGCCCCAAAAUGAGGACAUGCAGGGAAUUUUAGAAGGCUAUCUUUAAGCUGUUUUGAACCCUGCCUAUAUCUAACUACUAGGGUAGAAGAGCCAUAAGGCAGAGAUUUCACCACUGUUGUUCAUAGUGAGUCCCCACAGCCUGGAACAGUGCCUGGUUCAUAGAAGAGGUCAGUAAAUGUCUGUGGAAUGAAUAUAAAAGGAGGAGAGAGCUAAUGAAAAGAAAACCUUUCUAUGCCUCAGGCCAGAAAUCUUACUGUUGGUUUCCCUUGCAAGUUUUUCUACUUCUCAGAGCCAAGAUUUUUAUCCACAAAAAAAAGCGACAAAGUGUAUUUGGAGGAAUCUUAUGGAAAAUUCAGUGCAAUAAUUGUGUUUUAUGCAGUAGCAGUUUACAGAGUGCAACAUUCUGUAAGAACUGCAUGGAAUGUGGCAUGGAUGUACUGUAUAACCUAAUUACCUAUCGUUUUUGGACACCGUCAAUACCUACUGGAAGUUGAAAUGAUGUAUCUUAACAUCGAAAUGUCUGAUAACUUUAAAAUGUAAGUCAUGUAAAACCUUGAAAAGCUAUUAUGAAUUGUUCACUUCAAACUGACUGUAAUCUUUUGAAAUGCCUAUAAAUACUACUCCUGACAUCCUGCAAAUAUCUGUGAUAAUUUUUGUUUCUCCAAAGGAAAAAUUCUAUUAUUACAAUAAAUGAAGAGUAGAAAGUGGUCAUGGCCUGUUGAGUUAUUCCUUGGAGGAGAUAGCAAUUCUAAGGAAUAGCAAUUCUAGCAUAAUUAUGCAUUCAGAUCACGGGUCAGGCCAUGACUCACCCUUUUGUAGGAAGAUCUGAACUCUCCACAUCACAGAGGAAUGUGGGGGCUGGCCGUUAGAUAAUCUUGUGGCACACUGUGAAACAAAGUACUUUUUCAAAGUAUCUUGGGAAGAAAAUUUAGUCUAUAGGUACUCAAUAUGGAGAGGUAAUUUCUUAUGUAAGAACUUGGGAAAUUGUGUCAUGACUGAACAGUCUUUUAGAUGGCAGCAGUAAGCUGAGAAAUGAUUUUUCAGAUGUGAGACUAGGGAGAAUACAUUUUUAUGUAUAUAUAAUAAAGAACCUGUACUUCUUUCUGCACCCACUCACCUUGUAUUCUUUCCAUUUCUGCUUCCAAUCAGAGCCACUCCUUAUGUUGUAAAAGCCAUUUUAGAGAACAAGAAAAUAUUUUCCUGAAAAAAAAUUAAGCCUCACAUUAGCCUGCUCAUCUGCCAUUCAAGGCUUAAAAGGCAACAUUUAUUUUCCUAAUUGUGGAGGUAGGAAGUCUGAGAGCCGGAUACCCACUUGAUCCAUUUCUACCAAACUCUUUGGUAUUUCUUCAUGUAAAGCUACUAAUCCUUUAUGAGGAGCCCAUCCUCAUGAUGUAGAACUAGUCGUAGCUUCCUCUCUGUGGUAUUGUUUUUGCAAAUUAAAAUUGGCCUCCACUCUUUUGAGAAUAAAGUUUCAUUACAAUGCAACCUUACCCACUCACAACCAUAUGCCUCACAUAUCUUAAAAUACUUGCUAUCAGUAAGAGAAAACUUGCUGAUCCUUCUAGAGAAUUCAAACAGAGUACCGUGAACAAACAGAUUUGGGGAAGUUUUAAUUUCCUCUAUCAGUAGGGCUGUCAAACCUCUGUAUCCCAUGGCCUAAGAUUCUACAAUCU
Chinchilla lanigera (long-tailed chinchilla) is the source of this 7286-nucleotide long non-coding RNA. The record is from Ensembl. Lineage: Eukaryota; Metazoa; Chordata; Mammalia; Rodentia; Chinchillidae.